This 1182-nucleotide ribosomal RNA is filed under the name Seriola rivoliana (Almaco jack). Its description in RNAcentral is "partial 16S ribosomal RNA". It matches the Rfam family "Bacterial large subunit ribosomal RNA", at positions 606 to 2558 of the family's 2925-position model. The record is from RNAcentral. Lineage: Eukaryota; Metazoa; Chordata; Actinopteri; Carangiformes; Carangidae.
UUUUGCAUCAUGAUUUAGCCAGCAACAUUCAAGCAAAGAGAACUUUAGUUUGACACCCCGAAACUAGGUGAGCUACUCCAAGACAGCCUGACAAUAGGGCAAACCCGUCUCUGUGGCAAAAGAGUGGGAAGAGCUUCGAGUAGGGGUGACAGACCUAUCGAACCUAGUUAUAGCUGGUUGCCUGGGAACUGGAUAAAAGUUCAGCCUCCCGGCUUCUCCCUAAACCGCGAGAGUUAGUCAAAGGGGGGACAGCCCCUUUGAACCAAGAUACAACUUUUCCAGGAGGGUAAAGAUCAUAAUUUUUAAGGCAAGAAUGUUUUGGUGGGCCUAAAAGCAGCCAUCCCUACAGAAAGCGUUAAAGCUCAAACAUAAUAUCCUGAUAACCUAAUCUUAGCCCCCUAAUUCUACCAGGCCGCCCCAUGCAAGCAUGGGGGCGACCAUGCUAAAAUGAGUAAUAAGAGGGACCCCUCUCCCUGCAUGCGUGUAAGUCGGAACGGACCCCCCACCGAAAAUUAACGGCCCAAAUCAAAGAAGGUACUGGAUAAAACCUAGAAAAUCGUCCACCGUUAAUCCCACACUGGUAUGCUUAAAGGGAAAGACUAAAAGAAAGAGAAGGAACUCGGCAAACAAGCCUCGCCUGUUUACCAAAAACAUCGCCUCUUGCAAGAAUAAGAGGUCCCGCCUGCCCAGUGACACUUUAGUUCAACGGCCGCGGUAUUUUGACCGUGCAAAGGUAGCGUAAUCACUUGUCUUUUAAAUGGAGACCUGUAUGAAUGGCACCACGAGGGCUUGACUGUCUCCUCUUUCAGGUCAAUGAAAUUGAUCUCCCCGUGCAGAAGCGGGGAUGAGCCCAUAAGACGAGAAGACCCUAUGGAGCUUUAGACACGAAGGCAGACCAUGUUAAGGACCCUUAGAUAAAAGACUGAACUUAGUGGCCCCCUGUCCCGAUGUCUUCGGUUGGGGCGACCAUGGGGAAACAAACAUCCCCCGUGCGGAAUGGGAGGACUCCCACAACUAAGAGCUACAGCUCUAAUUAGCAGAACUUCUGACCAUAAGUGAUCCGGCAACGCCGAUCAGCGGACCAAGUUACCCUAGGGAUAACAGCGCAAUCCCCUUUUAGAGCCCAUAUCGACAAGGGGGUUUACGACCUCGAUGUUGGAUCAGGACAUCCUAAUGGUGUAG